CUCAUAGUUUACCAUCGCUGGAAUGCCUGGUAAGCGAAAGGUCCGCCGCCUUAGGAUGGGUCUGCGGCCGAUUAGGUAGUUGUUGGGGUAACGGCCCAACAAGCCUGUAAUCGGUACGGGUUGUGGGAGCAAGAGCCCGGAGAUGGAUUCUGAGACACGAAUCCAGGCCCUACGGGGCGCAGCAGGCGCGAAAACUUUACAAUGCAGGCAACUGUGAUAAGGGAACCCCGAGUGCCCGUAUGGACGGGCUGUUCAGGUGCUUAAAAACCACCUGGAGAAAGGGCCGGGCAAGACCGGUGCCAGCCGCCGCGGUAAUACCGGCGGCUCGAGUGGUGGCCACUAUUACUGGGCUUAAAGCGUCCGUAGCUUGGUCGUUAAGCCUCUGGGGAAAUCUUCCGGCUUAACCGGAAGGCGUCUCAGGGGAACUGGCGACCUAGGGAUCGGGAGAGGUGAGAGGUACUCUGGGGGUAGGAGUGAAAUCCUGUAAUCCUCAGGGGACCACCUGUGGCGAAGGCGUCUCACCAGAACGACUCCGACAGUGAGGGACGAAAGCUGGGGGAGCAAACCGGAUUAGAUACCCGGGUAGUCCCAGCCGUAAACGAUGCGCGUUAGGUGUAUCGGUGACCACGAGUUACCGAGGUGCCGAAGGGAAACCGUGAAACGCGCCGCCUGGGAAGUACGGUCGCAAGGCUGAAACUUAAAGGAAUUGGCGGGGGAGCACCACAACGGGUGGAGCCUGC
Molecule: ribosomal RNA, 740 nt
Filed under: uncultured Methanofollis sp.
Lineage: Archaea; Methanobacteriati; Methanobacteriota; Methanomicrobia; Methanomicrobiales; Methanomicrobiaceae
Description: bacterial SSU rRNA
Rfam family: Archaeal small subunit ribosomal RNA
Source: RNAcentral